UACGGGGGGGGCAAGCGUUGUUCGGAAUUACUGGGCGUAAAGGGCGCGUAGGCGGGUGGACAAGUCUCUCGUGAAAGCCCACGGCGCAACCGUGGAAUUGCGGGAGAUACUGUCUGUCUUGGGGCCGGGAGAGGAGGGUGGAAUUCCCAGUGUAGCGGUGAAAUGCGUAGAUAUUGGGAGGAACACCGGUGGCGAAGGCGGCUCUCUGGACCGGUACUCACGCUGAGGCGCGAAAGCUACGGGAGCAAACGGG
RNAcentral lists this ribosomal RNA (253 nucleotides) under uncultured bacterium. Its description in RNAcentral is "partial 16S ribosomal RNA". It matches the Rfam family "Bacterial small subunit ribosomal RNA", at positions 524 to 776 of the family's 1533-position model. The record is from RNAcentral.